This 468-nucleotide ribosomal RNA is filed under the name uncultured bacterium. RNAcentral describes it as "partial 16S ribosomal RNA". It matches the Rfam family "Bacterial small subunit ribosomal RNA", at positions 28 to 507 of the family's 1533-position model. The record is from RNAcentral.
GACGAACGCUGGCGGCGUGCUUAACACAUGCAAGUCGAACGGAAAGGCCCUGCUUUUGUGGGGUGCUCGAGUGGCGAACGGGUGAGUAACGCGUGAGUAACCUGCCCUUGACUUUGGGAUAACUUCAGGAAACUGGGGCUAAUACCGGAUAGGAGCUCCUGCUGCAUGGUGGGGGUUGGAAAGUUUCGGCGGUUGGGGAUGGACUCGCGGCUUAUCAGCUUGUUGGUGGGGUAGUGGCUUACCAAGGCUUUGACGGGUAGCCGGCCUGAGAGGGUGACCGGCCACAUGGGGACUGAGGUACGGCCCAGACUCCUACGGGAGGCAGCAGUGGGGAAUAUUGCACAAUGGGCGGAAGCCUGAUGCAGCAACGCCGCGUGCGGGAUGACGGCCUUCGGGUUGUAAACCGCUUUCGCCUGUGACGAAGCGUGAGUGACGGUAAUGGGUAAAGAAGCACCGGCUAACUACGUG